UGCACCUGAGCCCCUUCCACAGCACAUGGUGCUCCCGGCUGUGGCAGUGGCAGGGCUGUGGAGAGCGACACUGAUCCCCCAGCCCGCCGGUCAUCGCAGCGGGCUCACUCCGAAUCCGCCUGCUGGCUCUGGGGACACGGCCUGGGCCCAGCUCCAGGACGGUGACCAUCUGUCAUCCCUGCUCCAGAGAAGAGGUGAGAGGGACAACACUCAGGCAGGGGACGAAAUGGAGAGAAGUAACUAAGCCACCAAUGGCCUGUGUCCCGGAGCCACCUGCUGCCACACACGUGCGCACACACAAGCACACGCAGUGCUCACAGAUCUACACACUUGCACACGUAUACAUGCAACACACGGGUACACAUACAUCUAUACGCGAGCGGAGGCAUGCGUUCACAUACACAUACAAGUGCACUCACAUCUACACAUGUGUGCGAACACAUGCAACACACGUGUGCAAACAUCUACACGUGUGGACGCUCAUUCAGAUACAUAUGUGAGAACAUAGGUGCACAUGUGCAUACACAUAUGCACGGGCAUAUUCCAAUACACACGUGAGAAAACAUACACACACACAGGUGCACACACAAUCCACACGGAUGUAGACACAGGUGUACACAUACGCAUGUGCUUCCGGUUUCCUCUGUUCCCCGGGGCUGCAGUCGUGGCCUCAGGUGACAGAGUGUCGUGGGGCCUGGUCCCUGCCCUUCAGCCCAGGCACUCCUGGGUGAGACGGUUUUAUUCCUCUCCCUGAAGCCAGGGAGACCGCAAGUGCCCUGCCACACCCAUCCUGAGGCCAGCACCCUAUGCAGCACCCCGUGGGGAGUGGGAGCCUCCCCAGUCCCACCCUUGACCACCGCUGUCCCCUGGCUGGCCAAGCAGGCUCACAGUCAGGGCUCAGGGAAGUGUGGGACAGCAAUGGGGAGCCAUGUGUCCAGAGCAGCCCGAAACUCGUGCACUGUCUCUGGGCUCCUUAGUCACUGUUAGUCCCACAGCACUUGAGGUCCCUACCCUUGUGGGACUCAAGUCUGGUGGGAGAAGACACCCAGACCAUUCCAGAUUGUCUAGGUGGGCAGUGUCCUCUAUGCAGAAAAGAGGCUGCCAUACCAUGAGCCGGGGAAGAAUACUACAGGCAGGGAGACGGCAGAUGCAAAGGCCCUGGGAUACAGAACAGUCUGGCUUGCUCUUGAGAAAAGGGAGGCAAACCAGAAGGUCUGCAAGAAGCCUAAGCCAAGGAACAGCACAGAUGAGAUGCACAAGCUUCUGUGAAAUUCACUGCCAAGGCCUCACACCUAGAAAAUCAUGACCAGGACAAUGGCCUGACCUGGAGCCCCCCACGACGUGUGUCUCCCCUCUGUUCCCCAUGACAUGUGUCUCCUGUGCUACCUACAACCUAUUUGCUCUGAACUUCGCAGAGACAAACUACAUUGGCCACAUCUGCCCUCCCUCCCAGACCCUCAAACCCUCCCCUGGCUCUAGUUCUGUACCCCAAACUCGUGGCUGAGCUCCCCCCACCCCGCCACCCAGUUACCUUCAUCCUCACUGCUGCAUGCUCAGCCAGUAGAUCACCAGAGUCUGGGAGCAGACUCUUCACCGGCUAAGCUAAUGGACUGUCACACGGAUCAGCCUGAGGUUUGGAGCCAAGACGAAGUAGGAAGUAGUGGGGGCACUUGCUUCUGGAGGAAGGGUUUCAAAUCCUGGAGGAGCAUCCAUUAGGCAGCAGGGUGUCUGUGAGGUCCCCUUGCUUAAGGCUGUGGAGCCACCUGGCCAGUACCCCACCCAGGCACUGAGGUCCCUGGGCCUCAGACCUCCGCCAGCUGCCCAGGCUUCCUGUGUCAGGUCUGGGAAGAGGAACAGUAUGUGUGACGCAGCCAGACCCAGAUGGAAGAAGGAAACAGAGUGAUGCAGAAUCAGUGGACAAGUUUAUUCCACUAACUCCUAAGUCUGAAAAUAGAUGAGGAGACAGAUUAAAGGCCCAUGCUGGCACCAGGAGAGGAGCUGUAUUUGAGGCUGAGAAUGUGCCCAGCAGAGGAGGAACCUGCCACCCAGAAGGAUGCCAGGCUACACCUACAGAAGAGACAGUGGGUGAGGAAAUCACUGUUUGUCACCCUGAGUGAUCCAGUCACUUCCACCAAUGGGCACUGGUGACAGACCGGCAAGGAUGGAUGUUCACCCAAAUGCCAGUGUCAUAUGCCAGUGUCCCCAUAGAUUCUUUGAUGAUCCCCAAUGGGGGUGGUCACAGCUGUAAUGUGGGGAGGACCAAUGACCAAUCCUGGAGUCCCCAAGAAUCAUGCUGUGCUUUCUGGUGGCCUCUAAGACAUUCUGGCCCAAAAGUCUAACCCGGGUCUAAUCAGACCUGUUUUUGAUGUCACGAGCCCUUCCCAUGCCAUCCCAAGCAAUACCGUACACAAAGGCAAGAGGAAACAGAUCAGAGGCUUUGCUGCUCCCUGCACCACCCGGCCCAGCCCCUUCCAUAGUCAAGGUCAUAAAAACAAAAGGUCGGUGGGUUGUCUCAGUCCGUUUGGUGUUGCUGUAGCAAAACGCUGAGGCUGGGUAAUUUACAAAGCCGUUUACUUGGCUUAUGGUUCUGCUGUCUGAAGAGUCUGAAGAAGGUGGCAGUGGCAUCCUGACAAGAGGCCCUGGCUUCGUCACAGUACCGAGGAGAAUCAGAGGGGGAACCAGCCGUGCCCAGAAGGGGCCAAGCAUGUGGGUGGCCAAUCGAGCACAGACUCAGUGGGUGACCAGCCUGAGUCCUUUCCAGGGACAGUGCCCAGGAUCUGAUCACCUCAACUAGGCCCAAGCUCUGAGGUCUCACAACACUGGGGACCAAGUCCAGCUCUGGAGCCCUGGGAGAUGCUCAGACGCCUCCAAACCACACAACGGGCCUCCUUCUAGAUGUGAGGUCACACAAGAGGUGCGUGACCACCUCGUGCACACAGAUCCUGCUUUGGAUGAGGCAGUAGAAAAGGACACGUGGGGACAACGGGCACAUGUGAAUACAGAUGGCUACUCAGCAGCACUAGGGAAGUCUUGUUACUGUUGUUAGCUGUGGCAAUGUUAUCACAAUUAAGUAAGAAAAUGCCAUUAAGGAAAAAACCAAGAAUAUUUGGGGGAAGAUGUCACAG
Non-coding RNA from Heterocephalus glaber (naked mole-rat), 3125 nucleotides. Lineage: Eukaryota; Metazoa; Chordata; Mammalia; Rodentia; Bathyergidae. The record is from RefSeq and is a predicted model, not a curated record.